CUCAAGGGUUAUAUUUUUAUAAUGAACAAAACUACACUGAAACCUGAAACAUCGAUCACUGAAGUUAAGCAACGUUGAGCGUGGAUAGUACUUGGAUGGGUGACCGCUUGGGAACACCACGUAACGUUGACA
Molecule: ribosomal RNA, 132 nt
Filed under: Diaphorina citri (Asian citrus psyllid)
Lineage: Eukaryota; Metazoa; Arthropoda; Insecta; Hemiptera; Psyllidae
Source: RNAcentral